Molecule: ribosomal RNA, 153 nt
Filed under: uncultured bacterium
Lineage: Bacteria
Description: partial 16S ribosomal RNA
Rfam family: Bacterial small subunit ribosomal RNA
Source: RNAcentral
GGGACCCUACGGGAGGCAGCAGUGGGGAAUAUUGGACAAUGGGCGAAAGCCUGAUCCAGCCAUGCCGCGUGUGUGAAAAAGGCUUCGGGUCGUAAAGCACUUUAAGUUGGGAGGAAGGGCUCAUAGCGAAUACCUGUAAUUUUGACAGAUCCG